GUAAUCCGAUUUAAAUAUCGAGUCUCCUUGUUUCGACUUAAGCUGGCAAUUGGAUUGCCAGCUUUCUUUU
RNAcentral lists this small RNA (70 nucleotides) under Escherichia coli str. K-12 substr. MG1655. RNAcentral's name for it is "small regulatory RNA ArrS". Lineage: Bacteria; Pseudomonadati; Pseudomonadota; Gammaproteobacteria; Enterobacterales; Enterobacteriaceae. The record is from RNAcentral.